UACAGAGGUCUCAAGCGUUGUUCGGAUUCAUUGGGCGUAAAGGGUGCGUAGGUGGCGCCGUAAGUCGGGUGUGAAAUUUCGGAGCUUAACUCCGAAACUGCAUUCGAUACUGCGGUGCUUGAGGACUGGAGAGGAGACUGGAAUUCAUGGUGUAGCAGUGAAAUGCGCAGAUAUCAGGAGGAACACCGGUGGCGAAGGCGGGUCUCUGGGCCGAAAUUGACGCUGAGGAGCGAAAGCGUGGGGAGCAAACAGG
Molecule: ribosomal RNA, 253 nt
Filed under: uncultured bacterium
Lineage: Bacteria
Description: partial 16S ribosomal RNA
Rfam family: Bacterial small subunit ribosomal RNA
Source: RNAcentral